Tripterygium wilfordii is the source of this 2903-nucleotide long non-coding RNA. RefSeq lists it as uncharacterized. The transcript is spliced from 6 exons. Lineage: Eukaryota; Viridiplantae; Streptophyta; Magnoliopsida; Celastrales; Celastraceae. The record is from RefSeq and is a predicted model, not a curated record.
UAACGGCUAAAUCCUUUUUCAGCGAGCAAUACAUGGCCUGGCCGCGAAACAUCGCAAUCAUAGGUAGUAGCGGGAAAAACCCUAGGGGACGAGAAUGGCUGUCGCGACUCUGAAGAAGGGGAUGGUAGUCUACAUGAUUGUAUAUAGGGCAGUGACCUACGGUCUAUCACCGCUGCUGCUCCUUCACCUACAAUAGCGUAAGCUCCGCGGCCAACACCCCACCCGCUGGCCUGAGCCCCUCGCUCGUCCGUUCUCUCCUCGCCGGUCCCUUCAUAUGGUUCCAUGCUGUCUCUCUAGGCAAGGGUCUGGCUGCGAUUUCUGUGAUCAGAAAUGCCUUCAAUGGGGGCCUGAUUUGAAUAUAUUGAUGACAACGACCACGGUUUCUGCAUUAAUUGAGACCAGUUUGCCCCACUGGACACCCCCUUUGCCAUGGAUACUUUCCCUUCAUAUUGGAAUCCAAGUGCAAUCAUAUUAAUGGAGAGUGAACGGUGGCCAAAUCUUAUUAUUAGCACUUCAAGAAUGGCGAAUUUGUGGGGCACGAGAAAUUUCUUUCACUCAACAAUGGGGAAAUCUUGACCGAACGAGUCCUCAUAUCAGCCAUACCAGGAAUUUGUGGGGCACGAGAAAUUUCUUUCACUCAACAAUGGGGAAAUCUUGACCGAACAAGUCCUCAUAUCAGCCAUACCAGUCCAUGAGAGCUUCAGACUGAUUCAAUUUCAGUUGGCUUUUACUUCAGAAUGGGAAGCUGAGGGGCCCAAAUAUCACUUAAUUUGGAAAAGUAUGGAUGUUUCAGGAGGUAAUCAGAUUCAACCUAUUAUAUGCAGUAUUGCGGUAUUGAGACUAUUUUGGAUCUACCUUUUACUUUUUAUGUCUCAUGCCUAUCCAUGAGAUUAUGGUAUUGUCUUACGACUCUAACCUUUUAAGUAGAUCCUGACAGAUCUUCCUUACGUCUUGGCUUUGGGUUUCCCUGAUUGCUCUUUAUCCGAUUUUUCUUGGUUCUCUUACCAAACCAUUAUGGUAAAUCAUGGAUAAUGCUAGAAUUUUUCAGCUGGUUGUGCUGUUUGUAUAUAGUUUGCCAGUUAUUUGUACAUUUUACUGUUAGUGGCAUUCAAUACCUUGGAGCUUUAAUGACGUGAUUUCUAUUUGCCCAAGUUCAACAUCUGCACAACUUGUUUAUUUCCAACCAUCACUCUGUACGGUUCAUGUGAACGUGGUGCAGUGUUGUGUGAUAAUUUGUGUGUUAAAGAUUAAAUAUUCCACCUUUGUGAAACUGAGGGAACUGUGAUUGUAUGUUGAUUAUUAGAAAGCAAGCACAGAUAUUGUUCUCCCAUCCUCCAUAACCAGUGCAGCUAUUUGCCUAGCAUGUUUGUCGUCUUACAAGCACGAAAAGUGUUGAGCUUGUGGGCACGCUCUAUUACGUAUCUUUCCAUAUUGCAAGAGGAUUGGGUCAUUUACAUACCAACACCAGGUGAAUGAGGAUAACAUCUUCGAAGAAGAACUCAUCACAAGGCAAAGCCAGGGGACCAUCCGUAUUGUGGCCAUACUCUUCUUAUGCUUGGUCUAUCAUAUGUUGAAAAAUUGGGUGGUUUAAGUAAUCCGCUCUUAUCACAAACCUUUUCCCAGCAUCCCCUACAAUAACAGCUAAGUGACCAGGACGGACAUCAGGAGGCUGUUUCUUCUCACCUCCAUAUAGCUUGUGCCAUAUGUUGGCUAUUUUCAGCUUCAAACUCUUUCCUAAGUUGCAUGGGGAAUGCUCUAUCCGGUAACCAUGAAGUGAGAUUCCAGGUACCAAUGUCAAGGGUUUGGGUAUUGAAGACUUGGAGUGGAUUUGGGUUGGAAUUUAUAAUCGAGGUAAUCCUCUCCUGUUACUUCCCUUCGAGACUUGUGCAUUUAAUAUCCCUAUGACCUACUAAUGCUUUGGAAUUUAAUUUAAUGUUUACUUACAAUUAAAAAUGAGCAUCACCUGUUGUUACAAGUUAUGUUGAUUCUUUCAAAAUGUAACCAGAUGAAUAUUGUGCUGCUAAUUUAGUCGGGUCUUAAGCGGACAGGUUGUCUGACUGGCAGAGUUUUAUGUUCUUGCAUAAGGUAGUUUCUAGUACUUGGCUGGUUACUCUUGGUGGUUCACAGGUGAAGAAAUAAUGCUGUCAUAUUAUUUUUAUUGGGAAUGCAUUGUCUUUUCUUCAUGUGGCGUAACAUGCUAUUGCUCUGCCUUCUAGGAUUUAAACAUGGUUAUCCAUUGCUGAGUUGAGUCUGUUAGGUAUUAUUUAGUUUAUACUUUAUACCAUAAACUGAUGUUCAGAUAAAAACUGGAACUGAUGUUGAGUCUGUUAGGUAGGCAUAGUGAAUCCAUUGGUGGAUUAAUAUACCCCUCAGCAGCAACACUGGAAUUAAGAUAAAAGAACACAGUAGACUCAUAUUUCGGAUUACCAACUUGAUGAUGGAAUUUGUUUGCUAAGGUGGGUAAAUGAUGUUAUGCACAUGUUCACAUGUUUUGUCUUCAUUUUUUAUGCUUAGCAAUACGAACAUUGAAAGUGAAGUUGCCUAAACUAUGCAUGCUAGAAAUUAAGCCCCCUAUAGCAAUUGCCUGUGUUGAUGCUUUUUGCAGGAGAUUCUAUUUAUUAAAUGGAAGGGAUUCAAUUUACAUUGGACAUUUAGCGAAGGAUGUUGUAUCAUUAAAGCAUGAAGACAUUGGCGUGUGAGUUUUUACCUGGGGAGUGAUGAACAAGGAGUAGCACUCUGGCUAAUCAAGGACACAGGUAGGCAACUUUCUUUAGAGAGAAUUAAAACUUGAAAUUACAGGAUUAGACACUAAUGAAUGCAUGUCCCUCUAAAUGUGACGUGUUGAACUUUGAAACCCUGUGGUGGUUUAUUAAGACCUUAUGGGUACAAAAGCUUUCUUAGAC